RNAcentral lists this ribosomal RNA (1866 nucleotides) under Triticum aestivum (bread wheat). RNAcentral describes it as "partial small subunit ribosomal RNA". Lineage: Eukaryota; Viridiplantae; Streptophyta; Magnoliopsida; Poales; Poaceae. The record is from RNAcentral.
AUGGCCUCUCCUCCUCACCCCAUCAUGACUCCACCUCACUUGUACGCACAAAUAGCUAUCCCAUUGGGAAAAAAUGACCGUAGGCCGAUGGAGAUGGCUACGAUCUACCGUUUCUGUGCUUUGGAUUCGAAAAUAGGUGGAGAAACGAAGAGAUCAGCGAGGGGGGCGAUGUACAGAGAGGAACGAGAGAGACAAAGGAAGAACAGCGAGAGGAGAAAGAAGAUGCCGCUCGGGCCUUAUCCGCUACUCUUCGGCCACUGCAGAUGGAGCUGCAUCACUAUAAAAUCAACUCCGAUACCGCUCUCAUCGACCAUUGCCGAUGCAAUGCUCCUACUGCUGUGCAUCGUGGUCCUCCCUGCCGUGCUCCUCCUCGUGCUAUCCUCCAAGCAGCACGGGGAAUGCUACGUCGGCGGCCGGCCGCUCCCUCCCGGGCCACCAUGGCCACGGCUCCCACUUCUUGGGAACCUCCUGUAUCGCUGCCCUACAACCGCCUCCCUCGUCGUCACCCUCUGGACGGGCGGCAAGCCGGCCAUCUUCAUCGCCGGCCGUGACGCCGCGCACCGCACCCUCGCCCGCGAUGGUGCCACCUUCGCGCACCGUCCGCCGUCGUGGUCCUUCGGGUUUAACGCCCACGGCGUCAACAGCUCCCAGUACGGCGGCCGCUGGAGCCUCCUCCGGCGCAACAUCAGCUCGCACCUUGCAGGGGCGCCUCUCGCUGGCGCGCUACAAUAUUCCCUCGGUAAGCUUGUUUCGAGUCUCGACUGUGUGGCCGCGGCGGCCAAGAACCACGUCGUUGUGCCAUCAGAAAUGCUCCGACACGCCGUGGUCUCCUUCUUCGCCUCGCUUUGCUUCGGCGAGGGAGUGGAGGAGGACGUGCUCAGGCAGCUACGAGGAGUCCACGCCGAGAUCCUCUCCCUGGUCGUUGAGCUCGGCGCGUUCCACCUAAUGCCAGCGCUCCUCGAGGUCGCGUGCUACUUCCCUAGGUGCCGGAAGCUAUCCAACGCCCAGAAGAGGCACCGUGCUACUGUCACGACUCUCAUCAGUGCUCGCCAACAACGAGACAGUGAUGGGGUCGGCUCAGGGCGGCGCCGGUGCUACGUCGACACGCUCCUGGAGCUAAGGCUCGGAGACGAGGAGAUGGUGAGCCUGUGCUGGGAGUUCAUGAACGCUGCCGCCAAGACCACUUCCACGGCGCUCGAGUGGAUCAUGGCACGUCUUGUGCUCCACCAGGUGCAGGUGAGAGAGAGUGUGUGUCAGCAGAGUGAGCGCCCAUCUGAGAAAAAGCGUGAGGCAUGCAUGAUAUACAACGGAAGUUACAGAAGGACAUCGCUAGGGGAGGGGAAGUCGAUGGGAACUGCACGGCGGAUGGUGAGCGGCGGAGCCCGUUCCUGGACGCCGGGUGCUCGAAGCGCUGCUCGUCGCCACCCCCCGGCGCACUACCUGCUGGCGCACACGACAGACAAGAACGUCUACCUCGACGGCUACGUGAUACCCAAGGGCUCUGUCGUCAACUACGGCGUGGCUGAUAUCGGACGCGACGCGACGUCGUGGACGAACCCCGUCGAGUUCUUGCCUGAGCGCUUCUUGGAGGGCGGAGAAGGAUACGGCGUUUCUGUUACCGCCGGCAGUGGGUGCGGCGAGGAGUCGAUGAAGAUGAUGCCUUUCGGCAGCGGGCGGAGGGCGUGCCCUGGCGCCACUGUCGCUCUGACGGUGCUCAAGUCCUUCGUCGAAAAGCUGGUCACGAGGUUCGAGUGGACACCGGUUGGGGCGGUGGACAUGGAAGAGAAACCGGGGCUUGUCACCGAGAUGAGGACGCCGUUACGCACUUGUUUGGUCGUGAGACCGCAUGUACAGCCCACAAACUGA